RNAcentral lists this long non-coding RNA (1070 nucleotides) under Sarcophilus harrisii (Tasmanian devil). RNAcentral describes it as "lncRNA (ENSSHAG00000029623.1)". Lineage: Eukaryota; Metazoa; Chordata; Mammalia; Dasyuromorphia; Dasyuridae. The record is from RNAcentral.
GCAACCACAAAAAUGCUGGAAGCCGCGGGGCUCGGCCGUUAACCCUUGGGACGUGCGGGCCCGGGAAGAGGGGGGGUGGAGGAGGGAAGUGGGGAGGCUCCCCGGGAACGAGCACGGGACGGCGCCUCCGUGGGGAGCCCCAGCUGCCCCCCCCCUCCCCCCCGUCAUCCCGAGGGCACGAGUGGCAAGAGAAGACUCUGCCCCUCCCCCUAAGAGGGAGAGGGCUCUUCCUCCUCAGUGGCCUCUAGAGACACACCUGGAGCCAGCCCCGGGCGGAGUGAGGCUGCUCGGCCCGCUGGAGGUCACUGAAUCCGGGUUCAAGGGACCCCAGAAUAAUUUGCCCAUUAUCCAAGAAUUAGGCUAAAAAUGUUGUGCAGCUGAGGGAAACCUGCGCCCAGGACCCGCUCUGGAGGCCACCGGGGAGCGGGGCCGCAGACUUGGAAGGAAGAGGCUGAGACCGUGGGCACAGGAGCCCGUGGGCACAGGAGCCCAUGGGCACAGGAGCCUGGAGGAGAAGGUCGGAGGGUCCCAGCCCCCUGUAACUGAGGACUAGAGGGGGAAGGGGCUCUCCCGGGGCAGGAAGGGAGGAGGGAGGACGUGGCUCCGGGUCUUUGGACGCCAAAGCCAGGCCUUGUCCCGGCAGAUGGCCUCUGAAGGCCAAGGCUGGCCCGGGAGGGCCUCUUCUUCGCCUGGACUCUGUGCUCAGCCUCUCCCUCAGCUGACCAGCAGCCACAACCACAUGAGCCGGACUCUCCAGAACCAACCACCGGCCCUGCCAUUAUAGGCUCCCCACCGACCCCGCUCCGAGCCUGGCCACUGGGAGGACCAAGGAGGGGCAUUGGAACGGAUGGGCAGCUCCAGGAUGGUGGAGAUGUUGGGGGAACAGCUUCCAGGGCUGAGGAGGAAGAGCAGUAGCGGGCACAACUCUGUCACGAGGCACAUCUGUCAGGUGCUCCCGGUGGGAAAGCAGGAAGCGGCCCAUUCAAGAACUGGGAGCCACACUGAGCCAGCAGAUGGAGGCCAGGACAGAUGACAGCCCAGGAACAGAGAGAUGGGCACCCAGAGGAGCA